GACGAACGCUGGCGGCGUGCUUAACACAUGCAAGUCAAGGGGGCCCAGCAAUGGGCAACCGGCGAACGGGUGCGUAACACGUGAGCAACCUACCGAACUGUGGGGGAUAGCCGGCCUAACAGCCGAGUAAUACCGCAUACGCUCUCAGUGAGGCAUUUCAUUGAGAGGAAACCUACGGGACAGAUCGAGGGGCUCGCGGCCUAUCAGCUAGUUGGCGAGGUAACGGCUCACCAAGGCAACGACGGGUAGCUGGUCUGAGAGGAUGGCCAGCCACAUUGGGACUGAGAUACGGCCCAGACUCCUACGGGAGGCAGCAGUGGGGAAUCUUGCGCAAUGGCCUAACGGCUGACGCAGCGACGCCGCGUGUGGGAUGAAGCUCUUCGGAGUGUAAACCACUGUUGCCCGGGACGAACACACCUUUUCGAGGGUGCUGACGGUACCGGUGGAGGAGCACGGCUAACUCUGUGCCAGCAGCCGCCG
RNAcentral lists this ribosomal RNA (480 nucleotides) under uncultured bacterium. RNAcentral describes it as "bacterial SSU rRNA". It matches the Rfam family "Bacterial small subunit ribosomal RNA", at positions 28 to 520 of the family's 1533-position model. The record is from RNAcentral.